Molecule: non-coding RNA, 125 nt
Organism: Triticum urartu
Lineage: Eukaryota; Viridiplantae; Streptophyta; Magnoliopsida; Poales; Poaceae
Source: Rfam
UACAUACUCCCUUCGUCCGAAAAUACUUGUCAGAGAAAUGGAUAUAAAUGGAUGUAUCUAAAAUUAAAAUACAUGUAGAUAUAUCCAUUCUUCGAACAAGUAUUUCCGGACAGAGGAAGUACUGU